RNAcentral lists this ribosomal RNA (253 nucleotides) under uncultured bacterium. RNAcentral describes it as "partial 16S ribosomal RNA". It matches the Rfam family "Bacterial small subunit ribosomal RNA", at positions 524 to 776 of the family's 1533-position model. The record is from RNAcentral.
GACGGAGGGUGCUAGCGUUGUUCGGAAUUACUGGGCGUAAAGGGCGCGUAGGCGGCCAUUUAAGUCGGUUGUGAAAGCCCGGGGCUCAACCCCGGAACGGCAGCCGAGACUGGGUGGCUCGAGACCGGGAGAGGAUGGUGGAAUACCCAGUGUAGAGGUGAAAUUCGUAGAGAUUGGGGGGAACACCGGUGGCGAAAGCGGCUCUCUGGCUCGGUUCUGACGAUGAGGCGCGAAAGCGUGGGGAGCAAACGGG